This 267-nucleotide ribosomal RNA is filed under the name unidentified marine bacterioplankton. Its description in RNAcentral is "partial 16S ribosomal RNA". It matches the Rfam family "Bacterial small subunit ribosomal RNA", at positions 59 to 339 of the family's 1533-position model. The record is from RNAcentral. RNAcentral also lists the same sequence under 1 other name.
AAGUCGAACGGAUGAUAUUUGUGCUUGCACAAUAAAGUUAGUGGCAAACGGGUGAGUAAUACAUGGGAAUUUUCCUUGUAGUAUGGAAUAACUAUUGGAAACAAUAGCUAAUACUGUAUAUUGCCGAGAGGUGAAAGAUUUAUCGCUACAAGAUAAGCCCAUGCCAGAUUAGCUAGUUGGUAAGGUAAUGGCUUACCAAGGCAACGAUCUUUAGCUGGUUUGAGAGAAUGAUCAGCCACACUGGAACUUAGACACGGUCCAGACUCC